GUACAAAAGAGGGGCAAAAGAUACCAGAGGGACAGUCAAGCUCAUUAAAAUCUAUGAGUUUGACUGUCCCUCUGGUAUCUUUCGCCCCUCUUUCAUA
Molecule: small RNA, 97 nt
Filed under: Mytilus galloprovincialis (Mediterranean mussel)
Lineage: Eukaryota; Metazoa; Mollusca; Bivalvia; Mytilida; Mytilidae
Source: RNAcentral